UUACCGCGGCUGCUGGCACGGAGUUAGCCGGUGCUUCCUUCGGUGGUACCGUCUACGUACAUACUUAAUAUGUACGUCUUCUUCCCACCUGACAGUGCUUUACGACCCGAAGGCCUUCGUCACACACGCGGCAUCGCUGCGUCAGGCUUGCACCCAUUGCGCAAGAUUCCCCACUGCUGCCUCCCGUAGGAGUCUGGGCCGUGUCUCAGUCCCAGUGUGGCUGAUCAUCCUCUCAGACCAGCUACUCAUCUUCGGCCUGGUAAGCCGUUACCUCACCAGCUACCUAAUGAGCCGCGAGCCAAUCUUCGAGCGACCCGAAGGCCUUUGACCCCUGGACCCUAAGGUCCUGUGGUCUCAUGCGGUAUUAACCACCCUUUCGGAUGGCUGUCCCCCGCUCGAAGGCAUGUUACUCACGUGUUACUCACCCGUCCGCCGCUGUACUCAAGACCCGAAGGUCUUUUUCUCGCUCGGCUUGCAUGUGUUAGGCGUGCCGCCAGCGUUCGUUCUGAGCCAUGAUCAAACUC
RNAcentral lists this ribosomal RNA (524 nucleotides) under uncultured delta proteobacterium. RNAcentral describes it as "partial 16S ribosomal RNA". The record is from RNAcentral. Lineage: Bacteria; Deltaproteobacteria.